RNAcentral lists this ribosomal RNA (444 nucleotides) under Engraulis japonicus (Japanese anchovy). Its description in RNAcentral is "partial 16S ribosomal RNA". It matches the Rfam family "Bacterial large subunit ribosomal RNA", at positions 1817 to 2465 of the family's 2925-position model. The record is from RNAcentral. Lineage: Eukaryota; Metazoa; Chordata; Actinopteri; Clupeiformes; Engraulidae.
CGCCUCUUGCAUUCCAAAGUAUAAGAGGUCCCACCUGCCCUGUGACUCUAAGUUUAACGGCCGCGGUAUUCUAACCGUGCGAAGGUAGCGCAAUCAAUUGCCUUUUAAAUGAAGGCCUGUAUGAAUGGUAUAACGAGGGUCUAGCUGUCUCUUUUUUCUAGUCAGUUAAACUGAUCUGUCCGUGCAGAAGCGGACAUUAAUAUACAAGACGAGAAGACCCUAUGGAGCUUUAGACACUAGCCAACUGUGAAUAAGCGACUGAACUGAGCAAGUCCUAAGUACCCGCAGCCUUAUGGUAAUGUAGUCUUAGGUUGGGGCGACCACGGGAGAAAGUAAAGCUCCCAAGCAGACCGGGAAAACCCUUAAGCCGAGAGUUGCAACUCUAAGCCGCAAAAUUUUUGACUGAAAUGAUCCGGUUGAAAAACCGAUUAACGAACCAAGUUA